Phyllopteryx taeniolatus (common seadragon) is the source of this 4208-nucleotide long non-coding RNA. RefSeq lists it as uncharacterized. NCBI's taxonomy places the organism in Eukaryota, Metazoa, Chordata, Actinopteri, Syngnathiformes, Syngnathidae. The record is from RefSeq and is a predicted model, not a curated record. The transcript is spliced from 2 exons.
CUUAUCACAUUUUGGAAAGUGCGGCGCGUCUUAUCGCAGACUUAACGUCAUUUCCAUGUUUACUCGGCCACGCGUGCUCGCCGUCACAUGCUCGGGGGCACGCGCAGGUCGUGGCUCUCGUCGCCGUACUCCAGAGUUCGUGACCUCUGCCAGGCAAAGUCACGCUCGAACACGUGAAGCAGCAUUUUUUUUUUUUUUUUUUUUUGGGUUUACUAUUCAAGCAUUUGAUUUUAUGUUCCCAACUAGCUUGUUCGGUAGUUAUUUGGCAGGAUUAAGAAAAAAAACAAAAAAAGGGACCCAAAAAAUCUCUUUGGCAAAGUGGAGAAGUACCUUCAAAAGUACACUAUCGCCACUUACAGGCCUGGAGUUCAACAACAGCAAAGUACAACUAAAAUGUUCAUUUAGCGUCGGCACGGUGACCGACUGGUUAGAGCGUCUGCCUCGCAGUUCUGAGGACCUGGGUUCAAUCCCCGGCCCCUCCUGUGUGGAGUUUGCACGUUCUCCCCGUGCCAGCAUUUUCCUCCGCUUAUCCAAGGUUGUUUUUUUUUUUUUUUUUGCUCUGUAUGAGAUAUAAAAUGUAUAUUGGAAAGAAAGACAGGUUCAUUCUCUCAGUUCAGAACCACUUUGUAAUGCACAUUAGCGCCCCCUUCAGGACUGCACUACUGCUACAGCAAGAUAUGACUCCAAAUUAUGAGAGUUUUCUGUUUGCUCUGCAUUAAAUAUAAAAUACAUACCGGAAAGAAAGUGACUCGGUUGUGAAAUACUUGUAAUGCACAUUAGCGCCCCCUGCAAGACCACAGUUCAACCACAGCGAUAAACUGCUCCAAAUUUCAAGAUUUAUUUUUUAUUUUUUAACAGACAUUUAGUGCUGUGUUAACUAUAAAAUGAAUAUUGGAAAGAAGGAAAGAUAAUCAGUCUCUUAUCUCACUUUCUCAUACACGUUAGCGACCCCUGCAGGACUGGAGUUCAAUAAAGGUAUAACCGCCUUCAGGCUUCCGAUCGGCUCACAGCAGUUGGGGGUUACGGCGCCACCUGGUGUUCCGGUUUGCACUUGACAAGCCAUACGCAUGCAGGCAAAACCUCUGAAAACAUUUUGUGUGAUCCGAUUUAACGAGAGAGUGCGGAGGGCUUCGGUUCGCGUGUGGUCGUCUCCAAGAAAAACAAAAGCGGACAAUCCCGCCCGCCCGAUCCGUCCGGCAGCGAUUCAAACAUUCCGCAGCUGCGGCGGCGGACAGCUGCGCCGUUAACGAGGACCGCUCGGCGCUCCGUUGAGAAGAAAAUGGUUUUCGCUCCAAUCAGGGAUCCCUUGAUGUGAUUUAUGGUCACUCGAGACGUUCUUCAAAGUCGCAAACAAUUAACGGGCGUUCCUCACGAACUAAAUUAAGCUCAUUUGGUUACUCGUCACUACAUAACUGGCACAUCGGAUGUCGACGCAAAAUUUGUCUUGAUGUGCGAAAGACAGACAAGGCGGCGAUCAAGUGUCCGCAUCACGCAUUUUGCCGUCUAACCUGCAAUAAACACGUUUUCUGGUGCACGACACAAAACUAUCUUUGUGGGGAGAACGCCGGAGCGACACGCUCAACGGGAAGCAGCUGAUGCGUUCAACCUGACCGACCUCACCCUGCACUCGACCCGUGACGUGCGCAACGCACGCGCGUGCAAACGGCGUAAAGUUCCAAACCAAGAAGCGGGAAGUUAAAACAACAUGAUACCUACAUCUGCGCGUGCGCACGUGUGUGGUUGUGUAAGCGUGUUUGUGUAUCUUUAUGAGAGUGUGAGUUUGUGCCUGUGCUUGCGAGUGUGUGUGUGUGUGUGUUUACAUUGUAUAUGUGUGUCCAGGGUACUGCGUUUGGAUGUCAUUAAGGCACGAUAUAAGUAAAGUAACAGGCUUUUACACGCACGCGCGCACACACGCACACACAGGCGCGUCGUGAAUCUGUCAUUGAUUCUAAAUGUGGACUGGCAGCAACGUGCGUGCGAGCGUGCGUGCGUGCGUGCGUCUCAUUAAUGUCACAAAGUCACAUCUGGCUUCGAAAUGCAGAGACGUGAAGUGAGGUGCCAGUUUCCCACGAUGCCUUGCUGCGGGGCAGGAAGCAGGUGGGAGGGCGGACACACACACACACACACACGUAGCGAGGAAGCUCCCGUGGCAGAGAGCGCGGAAGAUGGCCGUCGGAUGGGCCUAUACAGGAAGUUCUCCGCUGGGCCCGCUUCCUGUUUGCUCCGACUCGCUCCGGUCACCGUUUGAACCCGAUUCCCAGUGCGGCACGUCGAAUCACUUGUUUUUAUCUGUCGAAAUAUGGAAAUAGGCCUCGAACGUGAACGUCCGAAUAUCCGCGACAUCGUCGAUUAAUCGACUUCGACUCGACUGCCAUUACUUUAUAGUCGAGUCGUUCGCAGUUACCUUGAAAAAGUAACUUAGUUACUUUACUGAUUACUUAAGCUUAAAAGUAACUUACUGCACCGAUGACUUGAUUUCAAAAGUAACAAAGUUCGAGAAAAGUAACUUUUGAGUUACUUCCAGCAGUACUUUCUCCACCAAUGACAUGCGCCGUGACUGAAUCGAGCGUCUUGCCUUGUUGACUUUUUUGUUUGGCAAUGAGCAUAAAUAGCAUAUUAUUAUUCAAAAGCAUAUUAAACUCUGGUUCUCGUGAACAAAAAAAGUAACUAUUGGCCGAUAAAUCAACGUAGCUGUAAUCUGACUACACCAAUAUAAAAAGUAACGAGUUGGUUUUCUUACGACUUUUGUCAUUUUUGACUCAAAACGGUAACGUGUUACCGGCAUCACUGGUCGUUCGUCCCCUAGUGUGUGUGUGUGUGUUUACACACGCAUAUACUGGCUCCCUUCAAGCGUCAAGUUAAGUAUGAUUCCCAAAGUUCUCAUGAUUUUGCCAACAAAGGCGCGCAUCCUCAAGUGCGCUCCUGCGCUGACCCUUCACCCUUCGGGCCCAAAACACCUGACGACAAGACGGAUGCCGAAGGAAGCGCGGCGAUGAUCUCGCCGGCUUUGACGUGAGCGGCCUGAAUGGAUUUUUGACCCGGAAGCCGGUCCGAAGAAUUCCUCCGCCUCCCGCUCGGACGGACAAUCUUUACGUCUUCCUGUUUUCUUGCAAAAUCGCUUCUCGAUAAGACAGACUUGCAGGAGCCUCACCGGACACUUACAUUUUUUUUUUUGCUCUGUUAGGCUUUUAUUGACAAAAUGUGUUUUUGGCAUGCGUUUUAAAAAUGAUACCUUUCUAAACGGGCUUUUUUUUUGUUUUUUUGUUUUUUUUUGGCACGGCUCGUGAGUUUUGACGCGCGGCUCAAACAGCUCGGGAGAAAUCAGCUUUAGGGGAUGACGUCGCCGAAGACAAAGAAGGAAAUCGAGAGCGACGAUCCGGCGUUUUCCCGUGCGCGCGCCGUCCCACGAUGCACCGCAGCACGGAAAGUGCCGCGAGUCUGCAGGAAACCGCCCACAGGAAGCGCAACACUGCCAGCGCCCCGGCGAAGUCGGACUUCUUACCACGGCCGCCGCCGCAACCAAAAGUCUUCCUUCAUCUUCUGCGCUCCCUCGCUCCUCCCACCCUUCUUUCUUUCUUUCUUUCUUUCCUUCUUUCUUUUUUUAAGCGACAUUUGCAGAAGUGCACACUUUGCGACUAAACGCCGCACACACUUAAAAGUUGUCCAAAAUCAAAGUUCCGAUUUCCAAAGACUCGUCAUUAAAGCGAGCGUGCCUGUAGACCAGGGUCUGCAACUUCCAACCUGCUGCUGCGGCUCGGGAAAAGAAAUAACGCCGAUGGGCUUUCCUGAGGUAUUCGACGCCCGGUAGGCAAACUGCGGACACAUCCAAGAAAUGACGUUUCUGAAGAAAACGCUACGUGGACAAUAUUCAACGCAAACCGCGCACGCCGCACAGAUGACAGCUUCGGAUCGUGUGUGAAAAUAGUCUUGUCUACCACAAAUGCCGUUAACCGGGUCAAAUAAAUCUAUUUUAAUUGGCUCUCAUUUUGCAAAUAUGUUAAGUGAAAAGGUCCUUUCUAAUGCAAGUUGACAGCUGACUGCACGCUCCACGUGUGUUACAUGAUGUGUGCGUUUGCUUCGCUGCGGGUGGCUAGUUGAAAGUGUGGCGUGAAUUUCAUUUGAUCGGAAAGGCCGCGUCCUCGAAGUGUCUUUUUCCCAGAGUUCAAAAUGUUUUGGUCGCAGAAAUAAAAUGUUGUGUUCUCUCUCUA